RNAcentral lists this ribosomal RNA (238 nucleotides) under uncultured bacterium. RNAcentral's name for it is "partial 16S ribosomal RNA". It matches the Rfam family "Bacterial small subunit ribosomal RNA", at positions 28 to 265 of the family's 1533-position model. The record is from RNAcentral.
GACGAACGCUGGCGGCGUGCUUAACACAUGCAAGUCGAGCGGUAAGGCCCUUUCGGGGGUACACGAGCGGCGAACGGGUGAGUAACACGUGGGUGACCUGCCCUCAGCUCUGGGAUAAGCCUGGGAAACCGGGUCUAAUACCGGAUAUGACUCCAUGAUGCAUGUUGUGGGGUGGAAAGCCUUGUGCGGCUGAGGAUGGGCCCGCGGCCGUAUCAGCUUGUUGGUGGGGUGGAUGGCC